Long non-coding RNA from Haemorhous mexicanus (house finch), 562 nucleotides. RefSeq lists it as uncharacterized. NCBI's taxonomy places the organism in Eukaryota, Metazoa, Chordata, Aves, Passeriformes, Fringillidae. The record is from RefSeq and is a predicted model, not a curated record. The transcript has 3 exons.
CUUCCUCACAGCUGUGGUUUUUCAAGUAAGAACUAGCUUCCUGAUUUCACCUUCUUCCCUCUUGUGAUCUGAUUCUCUUUGUGAGUAAGGGCUUCAUCGCUCUUCAUUCUUAUAUGACUGCAAGAUUUUUCACUGUAGUACAAAGUAAAGAAGAACAACUGCGUGUCCAGUUCCCAUGGAGUGUCAGAGCUUCUUCCUCAAAGAGAUUCCAGGAAAAAAGCCCUUUGUGUGCCUCUGUAUUUUUUCAUCUUCCAAUCAGAAUAACUCUGCAGAAGUCAGCAUACUGGCUAGUAUUGGCUAAUCACUGAAGCCCAAGAUGAAACUUAUCACUGUUUGAUUGUAGCAAGGGAGUCCUUCUGAUAUCUUGGUGGCAGCCAAGACUGGGCUUAACUUUGUUCACACCUGUGGUGCAAUUGCAUUAUAAAACUACUUUCAUGACAUGGAAGACACUUUGUAUUAAUUAUUCCUUAUUUGUUUAUUUUAAAUGCCAACUUGCAUUUUACUUUUAUUUUAUUAAUGAAAUUAAAUAUUUUAAAAUAUUAAAAUAUAGGUUAUUCACUAA